UGUUGCAGGUCUUCUGUUCACACCUGGAGCAGCUCCUCCAGUAUCUGUACGCAGCGUCAGAGAAGAUCCAGCUCCUGGCUCAACCAGCUGUGGACAUCGCCAGACUGAAACUAUCUCUGGAUGAGUAUCAGAGGGAAGUGAGAAACCAUCUGCCCCUGACCUCCUGUGUCAUGCACAGUGGACAGCUUCUACUCCGUAGCAUCAACAGCAUGUCUCCAUUUUUAAGAGACACUCUGCAGCUGGUUGCGAGGGAAUCUGAAGCUCUGCAGAGCUACAAUCAGCACUUCUCCACGGACAACCUGGUGCAGCAGAGCAGAGACCAGUCGUCUCUGGGAGUCCAGUGAGCCUGUGUGUCUCAACUUAGCACAAAGACAUGAAAAUGAGACAUAAAGAGACAAAAUGCAAUAGAUAAAAACAUAGACGGGGUUCUAUGGAGCGCUUGAAUUAAAGUGUCUUUCGCUGCUUUUUAAAUGAAUCCUCACAAUUUCAGCAACAUAAGAACAGAGGCGUUCCACUGCCUGAAAGGCUCCACCCCCUCUGACCCUAAAGCUCGUUUCAGCCUCCAACGUGAAGACGUCAGGGUGCAGGCAGGAUUGUUGUGCCCUUAGAUGAGGAGAAUAUGAAUAAUCACAGAAGCAGCACAUGUAGUAUUCAGUACACACACACACACACACACACUCAGGAUCAGUUACCACAAAGAUUCUGUAUCUUUACUAAAUUAUUGAAAUGAUUUUUACAGGACAUUUCAAUAAUAAAAAAAUAAAUGUUUCAACCUUU
Solea senegalensis (Senegalese sole) is the source of this 777-nucleotide long non-coding RNA. RefSeq lists it as uncharacterized. NCBI's taxonomy places the organism in Eukaryota, Metazoa, Chordata, Actinopteri, Pleuronectiformes, Soleidae. The record is from RefSeq and is a predicted model, not a curated record. The transcript has 3 exons.